UUCUGUUCUGUAAGUUUGAUCCUUUCUAACUCUUGCUCAAUUCCCGACUCGAAGUUCUCUUCGUUUUCGUUUCUGCAAAUUCUAUUUUUGGUAAUCUUUUCUUUUGAAUUUACUCUGUUUCCAGGUAUCAAUUCUAUCUUGUCGUCGUCGUUUUCAGAUUCUGAUCAUUCUAUUCUAUUGUUAAAUCUUAGAAUUUGUUCAUUUCAUAUUCUAAUUCUGAUCAUUCUGACCAAUUUUGUUCGUUUCAUAUUCUAAUUCAAUGUCUUUAAUAAGUAGUUCGACAUACUUAGUUACUUGUCAAUUCAGAUUCUAUUCAGUUUGUUCUUUGUUAUAAUUGUAAAUCCAAUUCUAGACACUUGUCUGAGUUAAAUCAUUUUGAUAAGGAUGAGAUUACAUUCAUAUAGCAAUUGAUAAUGCUAAAUGGUAUACAUAAAUUCGUAUUUAUUUUCGAAUUCAAAUAUGUCUAAUCGAAUUCGAAUUUGUGGAUCUCGAAUCUGGAUUCGGAUACCAAAAAUGAUAUUCGAAAAUUAUCCAAACAGAAUCUGAAUUCGAUUGAUAAUCUGAAUUCAGUUGAUAAUUUCAUAUUCGGAUAUCCGAAUAAAUAUAAAUUAACUUAUGAAUAUCCGGAUUUUAGGAUGAUUAAUUAAUUAACUUUAUUAAAAGUGAUUUUAUACUUUUAUAAUUUUAUUGACAAAAUACCGAGCGUUCCCCCUUGCAGACAAAAUCCCUAGCGAAGUGAAGUUCACUCGUUCGCCCGGUGCGAACGAGCGAGGUCACCCCAGAUCAGUUGCACUCCACGCCUUACCUCCAGAUCAAAUCUCCUCCCUAACCUCUUUUUUAACUGGAUCGAAUGACCUCGGCUCCACGCCUGAUUACAACCGAGCGAACACCCAGUGACCGCGAGUGAGAUCAUUUCGCAAGCAACAGUUCUCCACUUCCGAUGAGCGACAGAUACAACUACCAGAAAAUAGGAGGAAAUCUCGCUAUUGGUUUUUGACCUACAAGCCGAGGACUAGCACGCUACAUCUAUUCCAUACAUCUUAUCUACUUUUAGUUGUUUAGUUAAUUGGUUUGUAAUUUCUUUAUUUUCUAUUUAAUCUAAAUCGC
This 1107-nucleotide long non-coding RNA is filed under the name Zostera marina. RNAcentral's name for it is "long non-coding RNA (ZMAR_LNC004404)". Lineage: Eukaryota; Viridiplantae; Streptophyta; Magnoliopsida; Alismatales; Zosteraceae. The record is from RNAcentral.